GGCGCUAUAGCUAUGUUGGACACUCUCAUAUAAUAUAAUAUAGAUAUACCGAACCGUAUCGGGCGUAUUUGAUGUUUAACGUUUAUUAUUUUUCUUACGUAGGUAGGGUAUAUUAUACACUAUCGGGUAUACUUUUUCUAUGAUACGACGGAGGACGCCUCUUCCGCGUGAGAUUUUCGUUUAUUUGUUUGCGCGUUUAAAACGUAUGAGAUACGAAAUGUAUAAUUAUAAUAUUUAUAAGCCCUGACGCGGGUAUGUAUAAUACGUAUUUAUGGAAACGCGUUUGUACAGGAUACCACGGUGUAUACAAUAAUGUAAAAGAGUAAGAACAAACAGCGCGCGCGCGCGCGCGCGGAUAUAAAGGAAAAGAGGAUAAUAUUAUUGCAGAAAAAAAAAAAA
This is a non-coding RNA of Cinara cedri, 399 nucleotides long. The record is from the annotation of a GenBank genome assembly. NCBI's taxonomy places the organism in Eukaryota, Metazoa, Arthropoda, Insecta, Hemiptera, Aphididae.